RNAcentral lists this long non-coding RNA (409 nucleotides) under Anser brachyrhynchus (Pink-footed goose). RNAcentral describes it as "lncRNA (ENSABRG00000021150.1)". Lineage: Eukaryota; Metazoa; Chordata; Aves; Anseriformes; Anatidae. The record is from RNAcentral.
UUCAGUUUGCCCUUCACAUGUUGCUUACAGAGCUCCUAUAUUGUAUUUCUCCCUUUUUUUAGACUCUGAAGUCUUCUCCAUCUUUUUCCAUGCAUCUGUGACAUGGCUCCUCACUUCCUGAGUGGUGAGAGAACCAUGCAAGAGAUAGGAGAAACUUCCACUGCCUGUUUUUGCCCAUGAAAGGAAAAACAGAAAAAGAAGAGCAGCUGAGAAAAAGGCUGUUUGGUAGCAAAAGCUGAACCUACUGUACCGGCCUUGACAGUCAUUUGUUUUGGAGAUCACAUUACAAAACACUGAAGAUCUUUGAAGCGUGAGUUAUCUCCCACAAUGUUUGGUAUAUAAGAAAAUAUCUAGGUUUCAAGUAAAUAGAUCUAAAAGCAGUACAGCUGUGUCUUUUUUUGGGGGGGGG